Long non-coding RNA from Mauremys mutica (yellowpond turtle), 2211 nucleotides. RefSeq lists it as uncharacterized. NCBI's taxonomy places the organism in Eukaryota, Metazoa, Chordata, Testudines, Geoemydidae. The record is from RefSeq and is a predicted model, not a curated record. The transcript is spliced from 3 exons.
CGUAAUGAACUAGUUGAGGUCUUUGCUGGCCUGUUUGAAUGGUGCAGUAUUGGCCUCCUACUACUACCCGGAAUAAUAAUGGACCAAUCUUGCAAUCUUUACUCAGGCAAGUAGUCCUAAGUAAUCAAAAUGAAUCGUAUCCUGAUCUUGGUUCCUAAAGCCUGAGGAGUUCCACUGAAGUCCUUUGAAUUACUUUAGAUUUGCAGAAUGUCACCCGUUGACUUCAAUGGGCCUGCUAGCAUGUAGAAGAACUACUCCCCAGGUAGUGGUGGGGCAGGAAUGAAGCCGAUAACAAUACUUGGCACUUCUCAUCUUCAAAAUGUUUGACAAACAUUAACGUGCCUGAGUCAGCACCUCCCCAAGGGUAGCUAUUAUCGCCCUUAGUGCAGAUGGAAAACGCAAGCAGAGCAGUCAAGUGACUAGAUGGCUGUUAUUAAAGCUGGGUUUAUAAAUGCAGACCAUUUCCCCUCCUAGUUCUAUAAGUAAUAUGGCAACAUCCUCUUGCAUCUAAUCUCAAAGGGCCAGACUUGUGACCUACACAAAAACCUAGCAACCUGCCCACAUUCAUUGCAACUAGUAACGUGCUAUGUACUACUGAUGGCCACACCGUUAGUGCUGGGCGGAUGGACGAUGUGGAAGCCCAAUGUACAUGGCAAUUGUGCUGGAGGAAACCUUAGUGCAGGGCUGAGCUUAGGGCUUGAGCAGUAAAGUGGUGCUUUACUGAGCGAAGUUAAUUGGCUGCCUGAGCAGAGGGGAAAGAAUGAUAAAAGGAGCAGCCCUGCGCUUACAUCCCCUCCCUCCUGCCAGUUCAUCUACAGGGAGGCAUUUCUGGCAGAUAUGGUGAUGACCAUGUUUUGCUUAUAGAAGGUUUGAACAUUUUGGGCUGGACCCUGAAAUUCUUAUUUAUGGGAGCUGUUCCAUUGACGUCAAAGGCUACUCACACAGGUAAAGUUUACAGGAUUAGGUCCUAAGUCUAUUGUAGCAGAGCAUCCACCAAAAUUAGUUGUGCCAUCUUCAGAGUCCAGCGGUGAGAUGCCAAUUAAUAGGAGCUGCGUGGCUAGAUCCCGGUACACCCCAGGUUUGCAGGGCGGGAGUCCUGGGUGCAUGGGAAGUUGGAAUGGGAGUUUUUACUUGAAUGUCUCCAAACAGUUUGACUUCUCUUCCAUUUGAGAGGCAUGAGAAGGUUUUUAUUUUCAUGAAUUCGCUUGCCCAGCCAAGACCAUCAGAAGAGGUCUGAGUGUGACUAAGCGUCACAGCCCAGAGCCUGGGUUGGUGUGUAAGAUGCAUUGCCCCAGGAGGCACUGUGCCUACAGACGCCCCUCUGGGUCACAAUUCCUCCCUCUCUCCAGGGGAUAGGUGAGUAUUAAUUUACAGCUGGCUUAUUAUGAUAGAAGCAAAUUAUGGCAGCCAGCAGCUGCAGAAUAUAUAUAUAUAAUAUAUAUAUAGAGAAUAUAAAUGUUCCACCUAAAGUUACUCAGUAGAAGCAUCUUUACAUAAAGGCUACAAUCACCUGGGGCUGCUAAGUGGCCUAAGCAAGGAAGGAAUCGCUUAGGUUGCCUAAGCUAAGUGUAACAUCUACCAUCACAUAAAACAUACUCAAGACCUCCUCAUCAGUACAAGAGCUAACAGAGUUCGUGUUCUUUCUCUCCCUUAGACCCAACCAUCAAUAUACGCUUCCACCUCUGACUGAGGGAAAAGGAAACAAAGAAAAAAAGACAACCAAGGCUGGUGCACAAAGGAGCAAGUUACCGUGUCUAGUUCAGCUUCCAAACUGCAGUUUUUAAUCUGUGGCAAUAAUUCUGCAUACUGGUUUGGACCUGUUGUUAUGUCACUGUGCAUACCUGCAAAUGAUUGACAUCAUGAAAAAAGAAAAGGAUUUCUGCUUGUUCAGUCUUUUCACCAGUAUUUUCUACCACCAGACUGAAGGUGGCAUGUCAGGAAUGACCAGUGAGUACAAAUCACCUGCACCUCUAUCUACUUCAACUGAGCCUGCAAUCUGAUACUCAGAUUUGUGCCCACAACUGAACUGUGGGCAAAACUAUUGAUUGGACAUAUGUUUUGAGGUUGUAAAUUGUAUCUACAAAAAGGCUGUCUGCAAAAUUUGGCCCUCGGUAUUUGCGCUUUCCAAAAUUCUUGUUUGUUUGCUAUUUUGAUAAUCUGUUCGGAUAAUUCCUGGGAUGAUGUACCAUGAGAGCCCUUGACACUGAAGAG